AGAUUCCCCACCAAGUUACCAACAUAUACUCCAGGCUUUGAAUGAACCUUCAGAACACAGCUGCAGCCAUCAUGGAAAUCUGGAAAAGGUACUCAGUCUGCAGCCAAAGACUAUCUGCUCUCUAUGAUCAAGAACAACCUCUCCAUCUCUUACAGGAAUAGACACUGACAGCUACCAAAAGAAUAUCUGUCUGUUCCUCUUCCUCUGGAAACUGCAGGCUGCACUAGAGAAGUCCAAGGGUGAGAGAAACUACAAAUGGAGAAGGGAAAGGACAUCUGAGAGUCUUCACUAAAUAAUCAGAAGACUGAUGGAUUUCAGACAAAGACAGGAGUUAUAUAAUGCAUUCCUCCUCUGUGAGUAAUCAUAUGCAAAGAUUGACAUGUUUGUGAGUGUUCCCAAAACUGAUCCUGGGCUUACUGCGGCCGUUCCUGCAUGAAAAAAACAUCAGUCAGAGGGAAAGAGGAAAAAGAAAGAGAGGGAGGAAAAAAAAGGAAAGAAGUGUGAUUGUGCUCCUAGGACAACAUCCUGAAUUUUUCCCUGGUGGACCCUUGCCAUUACCAUGGCAAAAUGCCUGGAAACUGCCGUUCUUUUCCACAAAAAAAUGUUUUGAAGGAAGAACAAAAGAAGUUUGAGCUUUUGGCAGAUCAUUGAAGAUCACUGUGUUCAGAUCCUCAGCUGGUGUAAAUCAAGAUAACUGCAGUAUUGCUACAGUAGUUAAAAACUGACUGACUCUCCCAUCUAUCAUGACUUGCUGCUAUGGGGGAAUAUUUCUUUACAGCUUAAAUAGAGGAAAGAAUUUCUUUUACUGCAUGUUGCAUGUCUUCGUGUUAAGAAAAUAUUUUUUAUCCUUAAUUGCUUAAGCUCCCUUGUGUAUAUAAGGUGGUGGUGCCUUCUGUCAUGGAGGUGUUUGCUGUGUGUGACACCUUGCUUUAUUUCUUUGGUUUGCUAGUUGAAUGACAUGUUAAUCUGCUGUGAAGGUGCAUAAUAGGAUCAAUGGGAAUCAGGAAGUAUGUUUUAAAUUAAAAAGAGGUCCUUUCUUUGUCUGA
This is a non-coding RNA of Lonchura striata (white-rumped munia), 1046 nucleotides long. The record is from RefSeq and is a predicted model, not a curated record. Lineage: Eukaryota; Metazoa; Chordata; Aves; Passeriformes; Estrildidae.